Molecule: small nucleolar RNA, 133 nt
Organism: Pongo abelii (Sumatran orangutan)
Lineage: Eukaryota; Metazoa; Chordata; Mammalia; Primates; Hominidae
Source: Ensembl
GGCCUCCUGGUACUUACCCAUAGGCUGUGUUCUUACACUGACUAUGGAGAAAGAGGAAGUAGAGUAAACCUACCCAAUAUACACCUCAGCCCAGGCCCUGUGCCUGGUCUCUAUUGUGAAUGGAGGGACAUCG